Molecule: ribosomal RNA, 430 nt
Filed under: Bacillota bacterium
Lineage: Bacteria; Bacillati; Bacillota
Description: Firmicutes bacterium partial 16S ribosomal RNA
Rfam family: Bacterial small subunit ribosomal RNA
Source: RNAcentral
UGGGGAAUAUUGGACAAUGGGCGAAAGCCUGAUCCAGCCAUGCCGCGUGUGUGAAGAAGGCCUUUUGGUUGUAAAGCACUUUAAGCGAGGAGGAGGCUACUUAGAUUAAUACUCUAGGAUAGUGGACGUUACUCGCAGAAUAAGCACCGGCUAACUCUGUGCCAGCAGCCGCGGUAAUACAGAGGGUGCGAGCGUUAAUCGGAUUUACUGGGCGUAAAGCGUGCGUAGGCGGCUUUUUAAGUCGGAUGUGAAAUCCCUGAGCUUAACUUAGGAAUUGCAUUCGAUACUGGGAAGCUAGAGUAUGUGAGAGGAUGGUAGACUUCCAGGUGUAGCGGUGAAAUGCGUAGAGAUCUGGAGGAAUACCGAUGGCGAAGGCAGCCCUCUGGCCUAAUACUGACGCUGAGGUACGAAAGCAUGGGGAGCAAACAGG